RNAcentral lists this long non-coding RNA (324 nucleotides) under Musa acuminata (dwarf banana). Its description in RNAcentral is "long non-coding RNA (MACU_LNC004186)". The record is from RNAcentral. Lineage: Eukaryota; Viridiplantae; Streptophyta; Magnoliopsida; Zingiberales; Musaceae.
CGAUUAAUGCUGCGUCUGGGUCGGGUUCGGGUUCGCGUUCGGGUUCGAGCAAAUUUGCAGGAAGGGCCCACCAUGUCUUUGAGCCGUUACACCUCUUGACAUACGCAAUCAAACUAACACUGCCAAGUGCGUCAAGGGAGCUUUCUUCAAUGAAAUAAUUAAUUAAUUCUUAAAAGAAAAAAAAAACUAAAAAUGCACGAAGGGUUUUACAGAGGUACCUAUUGUUUAGUAUCACGUGCGAUGCAUGUGACGAUCUUAACAAGUUCUCCCUUAUCGACGAAGUACAGAACUCCAAUAUCGAUCACCAAUUAUAUUGGCAAUAAA